Molecule: long non-coding RNA, 1126 nt
Filed under: Notechis scutatus (mainland tiger snake)
Lineage: Eukaryota; Metazoa; Chordata; Lepidosauria; Squamata; Elapidae
Description: lncRNA (ENSNSUG00000006489.1)
Source: RNAcentral
AUUUUUCAGGUGUUUAGAAACAGCCAAAUAACACCCUUGCUGCAUUUUCCCAACCAGGCAGAUAUUGUCCUUCUGCAGUUAUUCAUUGACUAACUUCUCGUAGCAGCCCACUUUUUUCCUUAGUCCCGGCUGGACUGCCAAACUGCAGUGCGUCCAAAAAAAAAAAAAAAAGGUAAUCGCAGAGACCUCCUUAAAGCAGGCGAAGAUAACAGCCUACUGAUAGAAAAAGAUAGAAAAGCUGGGCUGCAUAUCACUGAGAGAGAAGAACGAAGGAUCAGGAAGGCUUGCAGAUUCAGCCAACGGGAGCCAUCCAGCGAAUCCGACAACGCAGCAAAAUUAUUCAUAAAGAUUGUGACCAAGCACAGAAAUAAGACUGUGCUGUAUUUGAAGAAGGGCAGCCAGAGAAGAACAGAAGGACAAAAUGAGCAAACCCCAAUACAAGAAGAUGGAAGUUGAUGUACCUGAAGCCCAGAAUCCUCCCCCCUAUAUAGAAAACCAACCGGGAUAUUCUGGUCACGGUUUCUUGGGGGGGCCCCAGUAUCAACCUCCUUAUGAUCCAAGAUACAACACAGGCCUGUUUAUUCAACCGAUGCAAACCAUGAACUUCGUACGCCUCCAACCCACCAAGGAGCCUGAUUACAUGGCCUACUCCAUCUUCACCAUGCUUUGCUGUUGCUUACCUCUGGGAAUUGCUGCCCUGAUUUAUUCUGUGCAGACCCAAGAAGCCAACCGCACUGGAAAUGCAGAAUCUGCUCAACGAAGUUCAAAGCUGGCACGAAAUUUGGCCCACGCUGCACUUGCAGUGGGGCUGGGGGGCCUAACUAUAUAUAUCAUCUUUGUUAUACUCAUGUACACUCAAGGAGUCUCUGAGCUGAUAAACAAUCCCUAUACUAUAUCCCCAUAAACUCUAAGGGUAAACUACUAGAAUAUAGGAAAAGUUCUAAGGCAGUUCAAAUUAACAAAAUUGCUUAAUCAUUACAUGAAUACAGUUCUAUGUGGCUGAAUGGUAAGCUGCUGAGAUACUAAAGCACCCAUUUAACGCUUAAUACUAAAAUGCCAAAAUAAUUUAGAAAUAAUUCUGGCUAGGUAUAAUAAAAUGUGAGGUGCUACAUGAAAGUAGUUAAGA